GUCACUUAAUAAUAGUGAUGGCCAUUUUUAACUAAUACUCUCUUAUCUACUAAACAAAUCAAAGCCUAUAAUUGUGAUUGUGGCCAUUUGAAUUUGAUCAGAUCAGCCAUGACACCCACCACCACUAGGCUCAGCUCAGCUAGCCGCAGAGGCUCUAUUAGCCAAGCCAAGUACACACGUGGAUCCACGUCAGCUACUUUCAAAACUAUUGGCUACUCGCAUUCUCUUUCUUUUAGAAGCCGACACGUAGAUGGAGUGGGACCCUAUCGCUUUGUUUCUUCAUGACAAAGCUAAAUGAUAUGGCUCCAUAUGCUUACUUUAGCCACGUAUGGGCAUCUAUGUAUUAUGAAAAUGUAUUUAUUUGUGACUUGCAAAGCUAAGGCUUGAUUUGAACCCCGCCUUGGUAGUGCCCACUGACUCGAAAGCCA
This 428-nucleotide unclassified non-coding RNA is filed under the name Hevea brasiliensis (rubber tree). The record is from RNAcentral. Lineage: Eukaryota; Viridiplantae; Streptophyta; Magnoliopsida; Malpighiales; Euphorbiaceae.